UUUUAGAUUUCCGUAUUCAACUUUAACCGUUCGUCUUAUUCAAAAAUUUUAUAAAUAAAUUUAUAAAAAUAGUCAUGCAUGAAGUACUAUUCAUGUGUUACCAUUUAAUAACAAUAAAAAUAUUAAUUUUUUAAUAAGACGGACGGUUAAAGUUGAACCCAAAGAUUUAAA
Molecule: microRNA precursor, 171 nt
Organism: Leersia perrieri
Lineage: Eukaryota; Viridiplantae; Streptophyta; Magnoliopsida; Poales; Poaceae
Rfam family: MIR812 microRNA precursor family
Source: Rfam